RNAcentral lists this ribosomal RNA (497 nucleotides) under uncultured bacterium. RNAcentral's name for it is "partial 16S ribosomal RNA". It matches the Rfam family "Bacterial small subunit ribosomal RNA", at positions 28 to 507 of the family's 1533-position model. The record is from RNAcentral.
GAUGAACGCUGGCGGCGUGCCUAAUACAUGCAAGUCGAGCGAACAGACGAGAUUCUUUCUCUUCGGUCGAUAGCUUCGGACGUGUGAGUAACACGUGGAUAACCUACCUAUAAGACUUGGAUAACUUCGGGAAACCGGAGCUAAUACCGGCUAAUAAUACGGACUGCAACCACCAAUAGUCAAAGAGCGUGGUUCUGACACCUAGAGGUGUGUCCUGGCCGCAUUAGCGAGUUGGUAAGUGAACGGCUUACCAAGGCACCGAUGCAUAACCGCCAUGAGAGGGUGGUCGACUACACGGCAACUGAGACACGGCCGAGACACCUACACGAGGAAGCAGUAGGGAAUCUUACGCAAUGGAGGAAAGCGGAAUAGAGCAAAACCGCGGGAGUGCUGAAGGUCUGCGGCUCGUAAAGCGAUGUUAUAAGGGAAGAAGAAAAGCGUAAGUAACAAUGAACAUCUUGACGGUACCUAACCAGAAAGCACCGGCUAACUACGUG